This 234-nucleotide ribosomal RNA is filed under the name uncultured bacterium. RNAcentral's name for it is "partial 16S ribosomal RNA". It matches the Rfam family "Bacterial small subunit ribosomal RNA", at positions 96 to 334 of the family's 1533-position model. The record is from RNAcentral.
UGGCGGACGGGUGAGUAAUGUCUGGGAAACUGCCUGAUGGAGGGGGAUAACUACUGGAAACGGUAGCUAAUACCGCAUAACGUCGCAAGACCAAAGAGGGGGACCUUAGGGCCUCUUGCCAUCGGAUGUGCCCAGAUGGGAUUAGCUAGUAGGUGGGGUAAGGCUCACCUAGGCGACGAUCCCUAGCUGGUCUGAGAGGAUGACCAGCCACACUGGAACUGAGACACGGUCCAG